GAGGAUGCGAGCGUUAUCCGGAUUUAUUGGGUUUAAAGGGUGCGCAGGCGGGCUGUCAAGUCAGCGGUAAAAUAGCGGGGCCCAACCCCGUCGAGCCGUUGAAACUGGCAGCCUAGAGUGGGCGAGAAGUAUGCGGAAUGCGUGGUGUAGCGGUGAAAUGCAUAGAUAUCACGCAGAACUCCGAUUGCGAAGGCAGCAUACCGGCGCCCGACUGACGCUCAUGCACGAAAGCGUGGGGAUCGAAC
This 245-nucleotide ribosomal RNA is filed under the name uncultured bacterium. Its description in RNAcentral is "partial 16S ribosomal RNA". It matches the Rfam family "Bacterial small subunit ribosomal RNA", at positions 528 to 773 of the family's 1533-position model. The record is from RNAcentral.